CCUCCUUGGUUUUACUUUCGUAUUCUAUCCAGUGAAGUCCUGUCAAGGUUCUUUCUUACGAAAUUGCUUCCUUUUACCUUCCCUUGACACAAGCUGCGGAUUGUCAUUUUGCUGCUUAUUUUGCAUUCGAUCUUACAAGUCUCCUGUACCCUGCCAUAGAACCUCUCCUGUGUGCAACAUCUGGAAGCCUAGGAUUUAGAACAACUAUCAACAAUGGCUCAACCCCCUGCCCACGACAGAACGAGGAAGCCAGAGGAGGAAGAAGAGGAUGAUCCGGUCAUCACCAUGAUUGAAAAGACUGGCUGUCUCAAGCUUCAUUAUGCUGUGCAAGAGUGUAUGGCGGAGAAGCAGGACUGGCGACAGUGUCAACAGACGGUCACAGAAUUUCGGAAGUGUAUGGAAGCAGGAUUGAAAAAGAAGUUGAAAGGCUGAUUAAGUGACACUUGUGCAUUCAAAUUUUAAAAUUAAUGUUUUAAUCCACCAGUAUGACCUCUUUGCUGCAUUUAAAAGGAUCAGUGUCGUUUAAUCAGAAUGAGUGGCUUUAGGUUUAAUGUUGUUGUGUUGAAGUUAAAGAGUAGGAAUAAAUGUUGUGUCAAUGACAAAAUCACACAAACUAAAAAUGCUGCUAAGAGGUAUACCCAUUCCAUGGUUGGGGAUGAACUGUAGAUGAAUCACAACUGAAUUGAUGAUUGGAAGUUUCUUCAUGUACAAUUCAGAAAUGUAUUUCAGUUCAUGAAAAGACCUGUGCAGGGAAUGCUUCAGUCUACUUCAGAACUUCAUGUCUUUUGUGAUACGAAAAUAAAUGGUUUUUAAAUUUUUAA
Long non-coding RNA from Aplysia californica (California sea hare), 821 nucleotides. RefSeq lists it as uncharacterized. Lineage: Eukaryota; Metazoa; Mollusca; Gastropoda; Aplysiida; Aplysiidae. The record is from RefSeq and is a predicted model, not a curated record. The transcript is spliced from 2 exons.